ACGAUAUCGAAAGCUUGCUUUUGAUGGGCGUCGACCGGCGCACGGGUGAGUAACGCGUAUCCACCCUGCCCACCACCUGGGGAUAAUCUUGCGAAAGUAAGACUAAUACCCAAUGACGUCUCUAGAAGACAUCUGAAAGAGAUUAAAGAUUUAUCGGUGAUGGAUGGGGAUGCGUCUGAUUAGCUUGUUGGCGGGGUAACGGCCCACCAAGGCAACGAUCAGUAGGGGUUCUGGGAGGAAGGUCCCCCACAUUGGAACUGAGACACGGUCCAAACUCCUACGGGAGGCAGCAGUGAGGAAUAUUGGUCAAUGGGCGAGAGCCUGAACCAGCCAAGUAGCGUGCAGGAUGACGGCCCUAUGGGUUGUAAACUGCUUUUAUAAGGGAAUAAAGUGAGUCUCGUGAGACUUUUUGCAUGUACCUUAUGAAUAAGGACCGGCUAAUUCCGUGCCAGCAGCCGCGGUAAUACGGAAGGUCCGGGCGUUAUCCGGAUUUAUUGGGUUUAAAGGGAGCGUAGGCCGGAGAUUAAGCGUGUUGUGAAAUGUAGACGCUCAACGUCUGCACUGCAGCGCGAACUGGUUUCCUUGAGUACGCACAAAGUGGGCGGAAUUCGUGGUGUAGCGGUGAAAUGCUUAGAUAUCACGAAGAACUCCGAUUGCGAAGGCAGCUCACUGGAGCGCAACUGACGCUGAAGCUCGAAAGUGCGGGUAUCGAACAGGAUUAGAUACCCUGGUAGUCCGCACGGUAAACGAUGGAUGCCCGCUGUUGGUCUGAAUAGGUCAGCGGCCAAGCGA
RNAcentral lists this ribosomal RNA (792 nucleotides) under uncultured bacterium. RNAcentral describes it as "bacterial SSU rRNA". It matches the Rfam family "Bacterial small subunit ribosomal RNA", at positions 66 to 854 of the family's 1533-position model. The record is from RNAcentral.